CCUCUGAAUCUGAGAUCGAUCGAAGUUGAGCAAUCCAUGGCUCGAUGUUACUGCUUGGACAGCUUCUGACUGCCAGCAACUGAUCAAUCUUGAGACCUGCUAAAUCCUGCACCUCCCUAACGUCUGUCCGUGAUUGCUUUCGCAAAUAGAGCUUGAAGCUGGGUAUUCUGAGGCGCAUCACAGCUCAUAUCUGCUGAUCCUGAGGCUGGGAGUUGGGCCAGUUGACGAACUGUGUAAUAAUUAUUAGAAUAUAAGUGAUAUACGUAAUGUAAAGUAUAUUAUGGUGUUACGUAUAUAAUUCUGAUUGAAAUGAGAGUUUGCUCACC
This is a long non-coding RNA of Halichondria panicea, 326 nucleotides long. RefSeq lists it as uncharacterized. The record is from RefSeq and is a predicted model, not a curated record. The transcript is spliced from 2 exons. Lineage: Eukaryota; Metazoa; Porifera; Demospongiae; Suberitida; Halichondriidae.